This 4944-nucleotide long non-coding RNA is filed under the name Physcomitrium patens. Its description in RNAcentral is "long non-coding RNA (PPAT_LNC011608)". Lineage: Eukaryota; Viridiplantae; Streptophyta; Bryopsida; Funariales; Funariaceae. The record is from RNAcentral.
GCGGAGAAGUUUAUUCAAGACAAUCCAUAGUAAGGCUUAACACACCAAUAUACACAUGAAGAAGAACUUCUUCGCAUCACGGAACAGAUGCAACCAGACGUAGAAAACCUAUUACUAGCAUUCGGGAUCGACAUUGCCACAAUAGGAGCCACAAGAGCGCCCACUCAUCCAACUUCUGAUGUAACGCAACCCGAUCCUGCACAUACAAAAACAAGAGCCAAUAUCAGUCAAGAGAUGAUGUAACUCAUGAAGGACCAAAUUGCAUUUGAGGAAAGUCACACCCUGAUAGAAUACUUGAGGAAAAAUCCUGGCCCAAGCAUACUCCACGAGUGGGCCACAAGAGUUCUACACAACUCCUACACCUCAACAACGAUGCUUGGGGGAGGUUACUUCAAAAUAUAAUUUAUGAGCAAACAAGGAAAACUACACAUGCUAUCUAAACCAUAUCAAUUCAACAACGAAGAUAUAUUAUUUUCCACCUGGAGAGCCGACUUCGACCUGGAAUCGGAAACCGACACGCACCAAACCUCCUCCCAAAUCUGGGCACAACUCCGAGGCUUAAGAAGGAUUUUUCGCACAACACAGUUUCUCACAGAAGCCUUUUCCACUAUCGAAGAAGUCAUAGCCGUUGACUCCACCAAAUCUUACCAAAACAAAGCUUCUGGUUCUAAGGUUCAGUUACCAGUCUAGGAUGUAGUCAACCUCCCACAUACUUCAGUUCUUCCCAAGAGGUGAACAUGAAUACCGAAUUGACUACAGUGUACUAUCCUCCUAGUGCAAUAGAUGUAGAAGUACUACACACCACGCUAAACACUGUACACUACCGUGGAGAGAAGAGCGCAAGAGAUCCAGAUAGAAAACCCCAACCUUGGAAAACUCGGUAACCGACAACCUCACCCAACACAGACAGACCAAUGGUGAAGAGAAAACAUUGAAAAAUGUAGGACCUAGGAAGAAGAACAGUGCAACUCUUCUACGCACCAAAUACAUCUGGGUAGAAAAGAAACCAACAAAAUCCACAGACACACAUGAAGGACCAGAAAAACCAUCUGAAUCAAUCAUAUACAACUCACCACAUACAAUUGAGCUUUUGGAGAGCUCUGGGAUCAGAACCGCCUUGCAAAGGAACAACUUAUGAGCAAAUUACAGUAGCUUUAGUUUGGUCAUCUCAAAACAACUUCCUUGAAACCCUGGUUUGCAAAGCUAGCGACACUCUGCUGUGCACAACACAACUGACUCACGUCCCAAAGGAGAAGGAUUGGUCAUCAUCAAUCGCUCAAACGCAUAUGGUUAACACCACAAUGCAAAAGCUCCAAACACAGAUAACCAAUAGAGGAAAUGGCCCCAACUUGCUCCGCACCUAGUCAGACGCAAUAUGGGUUUCAGAAUAGCUCAACUAAAAAUCUACUCACACAAACAAUUGGAUUACUAUCUUGCCAUACGACAAAAGCACCACAGCGAUCAAACAUCAAUAAACAAAGCACUGGAAGCAGAUACCAUCAUCAACAUCCCCCCCACAAGCUCUCAUACUAGAAAGGGUAAAGGAGAUAUCAUAUGGCCAAUGGUGUCAGACAAUCAUCCAUCUCCAAGAUUAACACACCCAGGAUGUGAACUCCUCUCCUCUAACUCACUUUGAGCAGAAACUCGGAGAGAACAACACAUCUAUUAUACAUGAAUGAUGGCCUAACAAUGGCCACAUACAACAUCCAGUGCUUAGGCGAAGGACUGGAUGGCGUCAGAAAAUGCUGUAAGCUUCGAAACUUAAUGCAAAAGACCUAUCUCAAACCCAACCUUAUAUUAUUACAAGAACAUCAAUUCAACCAUACUAACUGUACCAAACAAGCUACACAACUAGAUUUUCUACAAGGUACAAUGCUUUGGAACACCGUAGUGUACUCAGCACAAAAAGUGGCUUAGUUGGUGGAACAGCUAUUUUGGUAUCCAACAAACUCACCGAUAACCUAAAAGAACAUGGAGUGAUAGUCUGAGGAAGAGCGCAACGCUCCAUUUUCAAAAUCAGCCCCACAGUUCAAAUAGGCAUUCUAAAUGUCUAUGGUUACAGCCACACAGAACCCCGUGCAAGACUAUGGCAGAAAAUAGCAGACCACCCUUUACCAGAAGCCCUCUGGAUCAUGGGGGGCGAUUCUAAUUUUAUUGAGUCCCUCGAAGACAAGCAGGGUGGGAAUGCCAAUUUAAGACAAGGAACACAAGAAAUGACAGCAUGGAAUAACAUGCUCAUUAAACUAUAAGUUCAAGACAGUUUCCACAUGGGAGAAUUCUGCAAGAUUACCAAUAAACGCUUCACCUGGGAUAACAGAAGCCCAGCCCCGAAGACAGUACUCACCAAGCUAGAUAGAAUAUACAUUGGAGACAAACUCCAAGACUGAGGUGGACUAUGUGGAAUCUGGACAGCACAACCAAUCAUUUCGUAUUACACCCCUGCUUUCAUAAGAUUGAAACCUGCAUGCCGACCUCUACCCUAGAUGCAGUUCUUUGACAAACGACAACUAGAAUCAGUUGAAGGCAGACAACAUGUCACAGGAGCUUGAAAACAGGCCAUAUAAAACACUACAUAAACCAAAUGGAGCGAUAAAAUUGGCCUUACAAGCAGUAUGCAACACGAACCUAAAUAUUGCAAAAAAGAACAGACAGACUUGGAAAAAAUAGUACAAGAAUCAACUAAACCAGACACUCAAUGCCAAACUCCUCGUUCAAGAUAACUGAAAUGACCCAACGACGAGGGACACACUCAACACAACACAGCUAUAAUUACAAAAAAAUUGAUACAACAGGCUAGAAAAACAAUUCACAUUCCUUACAGUCAAAUGGACAAGAGUGAGAGACCGUUGCAACUCUGAGUUCUUUCAACACUACAGAGCUCGUCACUGCAAAGUCCGCAUCAAAGAAUCCAAUGAUAAGGACCGCAUUCAAAAGUUCCAGAAGCACAUGGCGCUUUAUGCACAAAGAUAUUACCAACAACUCUACACCCCAAACUCCACCGUUGAAUGCAAUGUAGACUCCGAAAGAGACACCUUAGCAAGCACUCCUAUAGUAGUCACAGAGGAUCACAACCGAGAGUUAGAACGCCCUAUAACUGCUGAAGAGAUUACAGCGGCAACGAAGAGUCUUCCUAGAAGCAAAGCCCCCAGACUGGACAAGGUACCGACCGAAUUUUUCCAAGAAUGUUGGAGGGAAAUUGGCCCCGACAUGGUGGAACUCAUCAAAGAGGUUCUCUCACAAGAAACAUUGCCCAAUAAAUUCAACACCAGCAAUGUAGUACUCAUCCCAAAAUCAGGUGACCUCUCUCUGAUCACAAACUACCACCUAAUUUCUAUUCUAAGCACAAUAUACAAAAUCAUAGCAAAAGCAUUGGCUAACAGACUAGUUCCUCACCUACCAAGAUGGAUUCAAAAAUCUUAAACAGGAUUUACUAGAGGAAGAUGUAUAUUUGAUAACGUCUUCCUAGCCACAGAAGCCAUGUCUUGGGCAGAAGAGAGCAAUCAGGACCUAGCCCUAAUACUUUGACAUUGAAAAAGCAAAUGAUCGCAUCGGUUGGAUUUUUUCGCAAGAUGCGAUGACACAAUUAGGUUUCUCCAACGAAUGGAUCACGUGGACAAUGGCUCUCAACAAUGAAGCUGAGGCAGUAAUAACCAUCAACGGAGAGCAAGGACAAUCCUUCAAGCUAGAGAGGUCAAUUCGCCAGAGGUGCCUCUUGGCACCCUACCUAUUUCUAUUUGCUGCCACCUUACUAGAAUAUGUGCUAGACGAUCCCAAGCACAACAUAGAAGGGCUCAUCCUAUCCAACCAAACCAGUCACACUAACUCUAUGUUUGCCGACGACACCUCACUAUUCCUCAAAAGAGAACCAAACAACAUGCAACAAACACUGAGAGUGUUAGACACGUACUAUGAAGCCUUCAGAGCUAAGAUUAACUGGCAUAAAACUCCGACAAUCUGGGUCUCCCAAAAAACACGAACCUUUAAUUGGAGAAAUGUGCAUGGUCUAACAUAGGUACGAACAGGAAUCCCAGUGCGCUACCUAGGCUUUCCAAUCGGAUUCCACAUGCCUCCAAAAGAGAACGGAGCCAAAAUCCUACAGCAAAUCAUAAGACAACUUAUCAAAUGGGGGCCCAAACAAUUAUCUUUAGCAGGCGAGAUAAUGAUCCUCAACUAAGUGGUCCUGGAUUCAAUAUGGUUCCUAGUUUCAUGCGCCAAUGUAGAAAAUAAAAUCUUCAAACAAAUGUGAUCUUUGGUAAGGAACUACCUAUUGUCCGGGAUCACCACAUGAACCACAAGAGCCAAGGUACAAUAGAAUACCAUCAUCCAAAUACUAACUCACGGAGGUCUAAAGGUCCUAGAACUUGAACUCCAAGCCAGAGCCCUCAUCGCAAAGCUGAUCACCUGUGGCAUGGCACCCGGAGUAGAACCAUAAAAAAUCCUACUUGGGCACUGGAUAACAGAAAUCCAAUACAGCAAGGGAGGAGAUUGGUACCAUAGCCCGCACUAGAUUACGGGAAACAAAAUAAAACUCAAACCCCAAGGCUCACCGUUGUGGCUCAAUGUGAGGUCAGUAUGUCAAGAAAUUCAACCUGGUCUGCAACAACAACCACCACAAUUUCUAGACAAACUGAUGUGCCAGCCUCUCUUCAACAACACACUGAUAAGAGACUCAAACGGAACGAUAUGGGGCCAAAACCUCCAGGACAAGUUCAAUCUAUGAACGAGAAAGGGAGUGCGGACUUGCGGGGACCUUUAGAACGCCACUUCAGAGGAUUGGCAUAUCGAGUCAACCCUGCAACACCGCACAGAAAGCCGCUUAAUUAAAGUUUAGAAAACCACAAUGCUCACAAACAUUCCAUGGCACUCGGGAAACAGACAACCUUACAUAGCCAUAGAGUGGUGGGCAAUUGAUACACAGGGAACCAUAGUCAAGAUAUUCUAUAC